UCCUGCACCUGCCGGCGACCGGCGCACGGGUGAGUAACACGUAUGGAACCUGCCCGCCACAGGGGGAUAACCCGGGGAAACCCGGCCUAAUACCCCAUGCCGCCCGGACCGGGCAUCCGGUCCGGGCGAAAGGAGGAAUCCGGUGGCGGCUGGGCAUGCGGCGCAUUAGCUUGACGGCGGGGUAACGGCUCACCGUGGCGACGAUGCGUAGGGGUUCUGAGAGGAAGGCCCCCCACCACUGGAACUGAGACACGGUCCAGACUCCUACGGGAGGCAGCAG
This 280-nucleotide ribosomal RNA is filed under the name uncultured bacterium. Its description in RNAcentral is "partial 16S ribosomal RNA". It matches the Rfam family "Bacterial small subunit ribosomal RNA", at positions 73 to 354 of the family's 1533-position model. The record is from RNAcentral.